AAUGAACGCUGGCGGCAGGCCUAACACAUGCAAGUCGAACGGAUCCUUCGGGAUUAGUGGCGGACGGGUGAGUAACGCGUGGGAACAUACCCAAAGGUACGGAAUAGCCUCGGGAAACUGGGAGUAAUACCGUAUGUGCUCGAAAGAGGAAAGAUUUAUCGCCUUUGGAUUGGCCCGCGCUGGAUUAGGUAGUUGGUGGGGUAAUGGCCUACCAAGCCGACGAUCCAUAGCUGGUUUGAGAGGAUGAUCAGCCACACUGGGACUGAGACACGGCCCAGACUCCUACGGGAGGCAGCAGUGGGGAAUCUUAGACAAUGGGGGAAACCCUGAUCUAGCCAUGCCGCGUGAUCGAUGCAGGCCUUAGGGUUGCAAAGAUCUUUCAGGUGGGAAGAUAAUGACUGUACCACCAGAAGAAGCCCCGGCUAACUCCGUGCCAGCAGCCGCGGUAA
Molecule: ribosomal RNA, 449 nt
Filed under: uncultured bacterium
Lineage: Bacteria
Description: partial 16S ribosomal RNA
Rfam family: Bacterial small subunit ribosomal RNA
Source: RNAcentral